UCACAGAUUCUGGGAAGUAAGCCUCUCUCUGUCCUACAAGGAUUACUGCAGUAUUCAGCCUUCUCUCAUCAGAUGCCAAGUUGUAGAAGGCUUAGUGGCACUUAUACACUGAGCCUGAAGAGAUGGAAGGCAACUACAAACCCUCAACUUCAUGAGCCUGGGCUGAGUGCACACUGAAGACAGAGAAUGGAGAGAGGAGCUGGAAGACAGGAUAUCAGCAAGUUUGGAAGAUGAGAAUGUCGCAAAGAAGACCAAGGCCAUGGUGGAGCAUGUGGUUGCCCGAGGAGGGGAGAAUAACCACAAGCGGAGUCCAGAAAACCGAAGGGAAAACCGAAGAAUGCAAGUGGCAGCAGCGUGAGCUGAGCGGGGAGGACUCGGAGAGUCACUUAGUCCACAGUGAGCCUGUGCCCAUGCCACGGAGCCCCACAAGAUGGAUCAGGAUUCAUUUGUACUGCUGGAGAACUGUACCAGUUCCCAGAGGAGGAGAAGGUGCCCACGAGGCUGUGCCCCAGAUCCUGAGCUUCAACCUUGGAGCUGCCUUACGGUGGAUGUCUUCCAAGAUUACUGCAGCAUUCAGCCUCUCUCAUCAGAUGCCGAGUUACGGAAGUCUAAGUGGCACUUAUACACUGAGCCUGAAGAGAUGGAAGGCAGCUACAAACCCUCAACUUCAUGAGCCUGGGCUGAGUCCACACUGAAGACAGAGAAUGGAGAGAGGAGCUGGAAGACAGGAUAUCAGCAAGUUUGGAAUAUGAGAAUUUCGCAAAGAACAAGGCCAUGGUGGAGCAUGUGGUUGCCCGAGGAGGGGAGAAUAAGCACAAGCAGAGUCCAGAAAACUGAAGGGAAACCAAGGAAUGCAAGCAGCAGCAGCGUUAGCUGAGCGGGGAAGCCUUGGAGAGUCACUUAGUCCACAGUGAGCCUGUGCCCCUGCCACGGAUCCCCAGAAGAUGGAUCAGGAUUCGUUUGUACUGCUGGAGCGCUGUACCAGUUCCCAGAGGAGGAGAAGGUGCCCACGAGGCUGUGCCCCAGAUCCUGAGCUUCAACCUUGGAGCUGCCUUACGGUGGAUGUCUUCCAAGUAAGUGUGGGCUUAGGGG
RNAcentral lists this long non-coding RNA (1092 nucleotides) under Neogale vison (American mink). RNAcentral's name for it is "Neovison vison (American mink) lncRNA (ENSNVIG00000008892.1)". Lineage: Eukaryota; Metazoa; Chordata; Mammalia; Carnivora; Mustelidae. The record is from RNAcentral.